Non-coding RNA from Delphinapterus leucas (beluga whale), 524 nucleotides. The record is from RefSeq and is a predicted model, not a curated record. Lineage: Eukaryota; Metazoa; Chordata; Mammalia; Artiodactyla; Monodontidae.
GCCACUGGCUGAUUUGUUGGAGGAGCGCUGGAGCCCAGUUUCUGAGGGACCCAGUGACACGCUGCUGUCACAGCUAGUGGCAGACGCAGACAGCUACUUCUUCCCCGCUGCUUCCCCAGCCCCUGGCAAGAGGGCACCCUCUUUCAAAAGCCAGGCAGCCCGAGGAAGAUGCUGCUCCGUGCUGAGAGCGCUUCCUAGUCGCUUUCUCCUAACGUGGUGCCUGUGACCUCACCAUCCGCUUUCAGUGUCGACUUUGUUUGGAGUUGGGUGCUAAGAUGUAAACUGACUGAAACACUUCUCAAGUGUCUACAUGUCCUAGAAGGGGAAUUUUUCGGAGGUGGCCACUUCUUUGGAAUAGUCCGAUGCCAUCAGGCCUCUGAAGCAAGGGGAGGGGGAAGAGAAAAAAGCUGAAACACAAGGUUCAUCUGGUAAGUUUUACAUUAACCAUUACAAGCUGGAUAGUAUAAGAAUGUGGCUUUUUGGCUCAAAAAGUCUGAGUCUUGGUGUGGAAACGAGUACUUGGC